UGACAUUGAUUUGAAAAAGACAUUUGAGAAGAAUGUAGAAUGUGCCUGGGUUUGCAGUUUGCUUCUGGAAUUCACUAACAAUGUGAUUUAAGGCAAAUUUCUCUCACUGGAGUGCAGUGAGGGUCUCACUAUGUUGCCUGGGCUAAUCUCAAACUCCCGGCCUCAAGCUAUCCUCCUGCCUUGGCUUCCCCAAAUGCUGGGAUUACAGGCAUAAGCCAUCACACCCAGUCUAAGGGUCACUCUGGCAACUCUGUGGAGAAUAGACCUAGAGAGAGAUGGUGGAAACAUGAAGACCAGCAAGGAAAGAACUACAAUAAUUCAGAUGUUCUGCCACACAGAUUUGGCUGUGUCUACAGUUGCCACUCGGAAGAAGUUGAAUGACUUUUUAACUUGGACCAGACUCAGUGAUUCAAAACAGUUUCUUGGCCACAUCCUUUCCAAUUGAAGCUGAAAAUGGGCAGAUGUGGAAACAACCUUGGACAAAGAGGUAGUGUAUUGAGGACCCACACAGGAAUUGGCUUCUUAAGGACUCUGGGCUCACACCUCAACCUGACAAUCUGGGGAUCAACUAAGCACAGCUUCCAUCUAUUUCCUUUCAUCACUGUCAUCAUUCUGCCACUUCCUUUUUCCCAAAGAAAAAAAAGGGUAUAAAAUUUUAUGAAAAUAUAAAUGACAGUUUAAAAUUAUUUAAACAUCAGUGGAGAGUUUUGAAAAAUUUUUAGUGUUUUUUUUUUCUUUGAGAUGAAGUCUUGCUCUUGCCCCCCAGGCUAGAGUGCAAUGGCAUGAUCUUGGAUCACUGCAACCUCUGCUUCCCGUGUUCAAGUGAUUCUCCUGCCUCAGCCUCCCAAGUAGCUGGGAUUACAGGUGCCCGCCACUAUGCCCGGCUAAUUUUUGUAUUUUUAGUAGAGAUGGAGUUUCACCAUGUUGGCCAGGCUGGUCUCGAACUCCUUACCUCAGGUGAUCUGCCUGCCUUGGCCUCCCGAAGUGAUGGAAUUAUAGGCGGGAGCCACCGCGCCUGGCCUUUAGUGGUCUUACAUUAAACAUUUUCCCCACCACUUAAAAAAAAAAGACAUGAGAAAUCCAAGUUUCUCUUUACCCUAAUGAAAACAUUUUGUGGAAAAUCAGUAAAAUUUUUCUAUAUUUUAGAAAGUUAAGAGAUGGCAUUCUCUCUCUUUUAGAGACUUAAAAUUUCCGUUUAAAGAAGACUGUGAUAAUUUCUACUUGUUUCUUUGUGAUUGCCAAAUAAACUCCUUGUAAAAAAG
Molecule: long non-coding RNA, 1262 nt
Organism: Pongo pygmaeus (Bornean orangutan)
Lineage: Eukaryota; Metazoa; Chordata; Mammalia; Primates; Hominidae
Exons: 5
Source: RefSeq, a predicted model, not a curated record